UGAGUUAGUGGCGGACGGGUGAGUAACGCGUGGGUAACCUGCCUUACACAGGGGGAUAACACUUAGAAAUAGGUGCUAAAACCGCAUAAGCGCACAGCUUUGCAUGAAGCAGUGUGAAAAACUCCGGUGGUGUAAGAUGGACCCGCGUCUGAUUAGCUUGUUGGCGGGGUAACGGCCCACCAAGGCGACGAUCAGUAGCCGGCCUGAGAGGGCGGACGGCCACAUUGGGACUGAGACACGGCCCAAACUCCUACGGAAGGCAGCAG
This 266-nucleotide ribosomal RNA is filed under the name uncultured bacterium. Its description in RNAcentral is "partial 16S ribosomal RNA". It matches the Rfam family "Bacterial small subunit ribosomal RNA", at positions 88 to 354 of the family's 1533-position model. The record is from RNAcentral.